UGGUAACUUUCUUUUUUUUUUUUUUUUUUUUUUUUUUUUUUUUUUUGCUGUGUAGAAGCUCUUUAGUUUUAUUUGAACCCAUCUAUCAAUUUUUGCUUUUAUUGCAAUUGCUUUUGGCAUGCUGGUCAUGAGGUCCUUUCCUGUUCCUAUUUUCAGAAUAGUAUUGCCUAGAUUGUCUUCCAGGGUUUUUAUAGUUUUGGAUUUUAUGUUUAAGUCUUUCAUCUAUCUUGAGUUUAUUUUUGUAUACAGUGUAAGGAAG
This 259-nucleotide long non-coding RNA is filed under the name Homo sapiens (human). RNAcentral's name for it is "non-protein coding lnc-VWC2L-2:1". Lineage: Eukaryota; Metazoa; Chordata; Mammalia; Primates; Hominidae. The record is from RNAcentral.